CCAGCAGUCAUCCUUCUACCCAGUACAGGGGAAAUUUCUUUUUCCUGUACUAGGCUUAGGGAAUAGCACUUUGGGGGGCUAACCCCUGGUGCUGCCCUAACCUCUUCCUCACAAAACCUUUCAUACAGCUGUGAGAGGCAAACUUCUCAGUUGUCAGCAUUUCCAGGAAGAAAGAACCCCUUGAGUGAUCUCCAUGUGACCUCGUCUGUCUCAGGUUCAUGAACAUGAAGGUGAGAGCAGCUCUUCCUCACAGCAUGACCAGGCAGUGACAAACACGCCACAUGGAAGGAAAUGAGUGAACAAUCCUCGCAUAUUCUGAACUCCGGGAUCCUGAAAUGCCCUGCAUGAAUCAUCAAGGGACAAAAAGAGGAGACUUUCCAGGGACUGACGCCCUCCCAGCCACCGUGGGAUCCCGGCUACUGUGACUGAGCCCAGUCAUGACUCCAGAGUGCUUCACAUCACAUCAUUCUUUCUCAGCAUCCAAAAUAUGAAGGAACUGAACCUCAGAGAGAAGAGAUAACCCUGGUCGGCCAGUAAACUGUAGAGAUCCAAUUUGAAUUCUCCCCUCUGUCUGGCUCCGACACAUGGGGUUUUCUUAACUCACACUGUGUCACCUGCAGAGUGUUUCCCUUCGGGGGAGAGAAACCCAAAAUAGUGAAAACGAACAGAAAAAGUUUGAAGAGUUCUGCUUCGGCACUUGAAGCCAAUCUCCCUACAGUCUUCUUCCUGUUCAUGCUUCCAAGAUGCUAUCAGGGAGGCUGGGCGCUGGGGACAUUUACACUCCUUGCCUCCCCAACCCCAACCUCGAGGAUUUCUGUAGGGGUGAAAUCACCUCAUUAAAGCUGUACCUUGUUGCGGGGGCGGGGGUGGAUGGGCAGAAGAACUCAUGAGGUGAUCAUA
Molecule: long non-coding RNA, 900 nt
Filed under: Homo sapiens (human)
Lineage: Eukaryota; Metazoa; Chordata; Mammalia; Primates; Hominidae
Description: HSALNT0293900
Source: RNAcentral